UAAACCCUCCCACCUAGAGGAAGGAGAAGUCGUAACAAGGUUUCCGUAGGUGAACCUGCGGAAGGAUCAUUG
RNAcentral lists this ribosomal RNA (72 nucleotides) under uncultured Trebouxia photobiont. RNAcentral describes it as "partial 18S ribosomal RNA". It matches the Rfam family "Eukaryotic small subunit ribosomal RNA", at positions 1760 to 1831 of the family's 1831-position model. The record is from RNAcentral. Lineage: Eukaryota; Viridiplantae; Chlorophyta; Trebouxiophyceae; Trebouxiales; Trebouxiaceae.